RNAcentral lists this ribosomal RNA (253 nucleotides) under uncultured bacterium. RNAcentral describes it as "partial 16S ribosomal RNA". It matches the Rfam family "Bacterial small subunit ribosomal RNA", at positions 524 to 776 of the family's 1533-position model. The record is from RNAcentral.
UACGUAGGGUGCAAGCGUUGUCCGGAAUUAUUGGGCGUAAAGAGCUCGUAGGCGGUUCGUCGCGUCGGCUGUGAAAACCCGAGGCUCAACCUCGGGCCUGCAGUCGAUACGGGCGGACUGGAGUUCGGCAGGGGAGACUGGAAUUCCUGGUGUAGCGGUGAAAUGCGCAGAUAUCAGGAGGAACACCGGUGGCGAAGGCGGGUCUCUGGGACGGUACUGACGCUGAGACGCGAAAGCGUGGGGAGCGAACAGG